This is a long non-coding RNA of Mercenaria mercenaria, 889 nucleotides long. RefSeq lists it as uncharacterized. Lineage: Eukaryota; Metazoa; Mollusca; Bivalvia; Venerida; Veneridae. The record is from RefSeq and is a predicted model, not a curated record. The transcript has 3 exons.
GAAGGAUUCGAAACAGGGGUGGUAUAGUACGUCAUCAACAGGUGCGCGCAACACUUCCCGAUGCGGCUUUUUUGUGUCAAAACAUCUCGAUUCGGUACAUGAAAGAUGAAAAAGGAAACAAAACUUCUAGUCUGCAUCAAUGGAAUUGUCAAUAUAUGUUAAAAAGGAUUGCUGAGUGAUCGGCAUGCAAGACAUUAUUGACAUAUUAUAUUUUCCAAAAGCUGUACGACAUAAUAUUUGAGAAGUGGAGAACAUCCUCUAACGGAAUUACCCCAGACAAGGAUUUCAACGCUCAACUAGGUCUCCGUACCAAACUUUGUCACGACUAUGUCGGUUGCUGUUUGAAGGGCCACGUGAUCAUCACAAUUGCUCGGGAAAAAAAUGAGAAAUUGCUGUAUCGCGCCAACGAAAUGUUCUUAUUAAGGAGUUUUAGAUGUGCGCAGGGAAAGACCAAGAGUGACUACAACCGAAUUAUAAUUACCACUUAGUAGAAUGGGACAUUGAAUCUACACUAGAAAGCGGUUGAGGAUUUAACAUUUUACUAAUGUUCAGAUUUUGCUUGCAAAUCUUAGUGCACCCAAUUACAUGUUAAAACUCGAAGUGAGCUUGAACAGUGGUAGAACAAUUUUACUUGCAAUGUAAAUUACUUUGCUUUUCUUAAACUGUUUAGUUGUUGAAAAUGUUGUUGUAUAAAAGAGUAUUUAAAAUAGGAAAUUUUACUGAUUUUUUAUUUAAACCCUUACACAGUGGAAGCCGUUGUGACAUAAACAUACGCACAUACACUUUCAAGACAUAGCAACAUCUUCCUUUUAUCAGCUAAUGUUAUAUAUUUACACAAAUCAACAAAGUAGAUUUAUUACUUGAUUGUAGCAAUUCUAAAUUUUAUACA